GACGAACGCUGGCGGCGUGCUUAACACAUGCAAGUCGAACGGAAAGGCCCUGCUUUUGUGGGGUGCUCGAGUGGCGAACGGGUGAGUAACACGUGAGUAACCUGCCCUUGACUUUGGGAUAACUUCAGGAAACUGGGGCUAAUACCGGAUAGGAGCUCCUGCUGCAUGGUGGGGGUUGGAAAGUUUCGGCGGUUGGGGAUGGACUCGCGGCUUAUCAGCUUGUUGGUGGGGUAGUGGCUUACCAAGGCUUUGACGGGUAGCCGGCCUGAGAGGGUGACCGGCCACAUUGCGACUGAGAUACGGCCCAGACUCCUACGGGAGGCAGCAGUGGGGAAUAUUGCACAAUGGGCGGAAGCCUGAUGCAGCAACGCCGCGUGCGGGAUGACGGCCUUCGGGUUGUAACCCGCUUUCGCCUGUGACGAAGCGUGAGUGACGGUAAUGGGUAAAGAAGCACCGGCUAACUACGUG
Molecule: ribosomal RNA, 468 nt
Filed under: uncultured bacterium
Lineage: Bacteria
Description: partial 16S ribosomal RNA
Rfam family: Bacterial small subunit ribosomal RNA
Source: RNAcentral